GGGCGAUUAGCACAGUGGUAGCGCGCUUCCUUCACACGGAAGAGGUCACUGGUUCAAACCCAGUAUCGCCCA
This 72-nucleotide transfer RNA is filed under the name Symploca sp. SIO2E9. RNAcentral's name for it is "tRNA-Val". It matches the Rfam family "tRNA". Rfam says of the family: Transfer RNA (tRNA) molecules are approximately 80 nucleotides in length. Their secondary structure includes four short double-helical elements and three loops (D, anti-codon, and T loops). Further hydrogen bonds mediate the characteristic L-shaped molecular structure. tRNAs have two regions of fundamental functional importance: the anti-codon, which is responsible for specific mRNA codon recognition, and the 3' end, to which the tRNAs corresponding amino acid is attached (by aminoacyl-tRNA synthetases). tRNAs cope with the degeneracy of the genetic code in two manners: having more than one tRNA (with a specific anti-codon) for a particular amino acid; and 'wobble' base-pairing, i.e. permitting non-standard base-pairing at the 3rd anti-codon position. Lineage: Bacteria; Bacillati; Cyanobacteriota; Cyanophyceae; Coleofasciculales; Coleofasciculaceae. The record is from RNAcentral.